Molecule: ribosomal RNA, 460 nt
Filed under: uncultured bacterium
Lineage: Bacteria
Description: partial 16S ribosomal RNA
Rfam family: Bacterial small subunit ribosomal RNA
Source: RNAcentral
CCUACGGGAGGCAGCAGUGAGGAAUAUUGGUCAAUGGGCGUAAGCCUGAACCAGCCAAGUCGCGUGAGGGAAGACUGCCCUACGGGUUGUAAACCUCUUUUGUCAGGGAGCAACGCCGGCUACGUGUAGCCGGACUGAGAGUACCCGGAGAAAAAGCAUCGGCUAACUCCGUGCCAGCAGCCGCGGUAAUACGGAGGAUGCGAGCGUUAUCCGGAUUGAUUGGGUUUACAGGGUGCGUAGGCGGAAUGCCAAGUCAGCGGUAAAGUUGCGGGGCUCAACCGCUCUCCGCCGUUGAAACUGGCGUUCUUGAGUGGAAGAGAAGCAUGCGGAAUGCGUGGUGUAGCGGUGAAAUGCAUAGAUAUCACGCAGAACUCCGAUUGCGAAGGCAGCAUGCCGGCGCCCAACUGACGCUGAAGCACGAAAGCGUGGGGAUCGAACAGGAUUAGAUACCCCUGUAGUC